Molecule: long non-coding RNA, 500 nt
Filed under: Gallus gallus (chicken)
Lineage: Eukaryota; Metazoa; Chordata; Aves; Galliformes; Phasianidae
Description: lncRNA (ENSGALG00010028941.1)
Source: RNAcentral
UCUAGGGCCAGUGUGGGGCUGUGGGGAGCUGUAAGGGGAGAUGGGGCUUUAGGGACUGGGGGACUGUAGGGAGGGUUUUAGGGCUGUAGAGGGGACAUGGGGUGCUAUGGGGCUGUAGGGAGCAGGGGAAUAAUAUGGGGCUGUAGGGGGCUAUUGGGGGAGCUAUAUGGCUCUAUGGGGAGGCUUUGAAGGAAAGUGGGUGGGCUAUAGGGGGUUUAUACGUGGUUAUGUGGCUAUAGGGUUCUGUGGGUGGGCUGUAGGAGGGUUCUAGUAGGGUAGGAGGCUAUAGGGGGCUAUGGAGGAGAUAUAAGGAGACAUGGGGCAAUUGUGGGUUUUUAGGGGGCUGUGGUGGGCUGUGUGAGGGUAUAGGAUGAUAGAGGGCCGGAGAGGGUUUCUAGAGAGGGAUGUUAUGCUGGAGAAGGUACGGGGGGGAUAAAAGAGGGCUUUGGAGGUUAUGAAGGGGCUCUUUUGGGCUCUUUGGAGAUAUAGGGAGAUCUGAG